RNAcentral lists this non-coding RNA (124 nucleotides) under Hymenolepis diminuta. RNAcentral describes it as "U4atac minor spliceosomal RNA". It matches the Rfam family "U4atac minor spliceosomal RNA". Rfam says of the family: U4atac is an essential component of the minor U12-type spliceosome complex which is required for removal of the rarer class of eukaryotic introns (AT-AC, U12-type). These interacting stem loops have been shown to be required for in vivo splicing. Lineage: Eukaryota; Metazoa; Platyhelminthes; Cestoda; Cyclophyllidea; Hymenolepididae. The record is from Rfam by way of RNAcentral.
AUCGACCUUGCGGUGGGGAGUGACUUGGGCAGUGAAGGCCAACUGAGCUCAAGAUUGCCGACACCUUACACUAAAAACGAUGCGUUUGUGACUUACUUCGUCAUUGAGCGCAAUUUUUGGAGCC